GUGUCCACUUGCUUCGUCCCAGGGUCAUCUCAAUGGGGAUCAGAUCCCAGCGUGGGAGGUGAAAAAUGACCUUCCAGAGCCUGCACCUCCUGCUGCUGAGCUUGUGCUGCCUACGAUCACUCCCGUCACUUGGAAGGGACACCCCAGCCCAGGGACAGAGCGUCUGGUCCUGGGCAGCUCCUGCUGCUGGAGUGCGAGCGGGACUCAGAGCUCCUGGAACCACCAGGAGGAUAAUGCCAGCACCCAAGGAUGAGGAAUUUGAACCGAUAACUUCCGGAUGACAUCCCCCAUGGUACACCACUGGCCAACCAGCUCCCCUCCUUACCUUGCUCCAUUGAACUGGACACCUCCUUCAACUCCGAGGUCCCUUUGUUGUCUGGGCCAACAUUCACUGGGAUCUGGCUGGAACCUUCUGGCACCCCCUGUUCUCCCAGGCAGGUCAGCUUGGCUCUUCUGGGAGUUGGUCUUCCUGCCCCCCCACACAGCUGGGAUCACACUCCAGGGAUGGGCACGAUGGCUUCUUUGGAACACAGCCGGGUAUCUAGGUCCUCCCUCACCUGCAGGCCCAGAGGGGAUACAGCUGUGAAUUGCCCAGAGCAGCGUCCCUUCGGAGCUUGUCCUAGAUCUAGAGUUUGAGCUCCCCUGGGGACGGCCUUCCCUUUGCUGACUGGCCUUCACGGCCACGCCUGGUGGGGACGGAGCGUCGCUGAGAAUGAGCGUGCUUAGUGGUCCCUGAGCAGACAGUCCCUGCCCAUGAGUGAACCUGCAUGAAAUUCCUGGAGCAAAGACCCCAGAAUGACGGUGGGAACCCUCAGAACCCCUGUGAGAGAGACGUGAGAGACACCACCCCCUUGCCCAACAGCCCCGUUUUCUGUCCUUGUGCUGCCUGGAAGAAAGGCCAAAGCAGAUAAGCGAGGCCCACUGAUGGCGUUUUUCAGGGCAGGAGAAAGUACGGGAACCCAAGGAAACCCCCUCAAGGGCCGAGCAUGUGCCUGGUUCCUUGGUGGGCGGGUUCUUGGCCACCACAUCUGCCUCCCACAAAAAGGUGCACGGUGCUGCCUGUCUGGCAUUCGAGGGUGGGGAGGGGCAGGUGGAUGAGUGAACACUUACUCACCUCCCACCUCUCGUGUCAGCCUCCCUGGUGCAGCCACCACUUAUCUCAUUUGAUCUCACCCACUAUUUAUCUCAUCAGCCCUCUGAGACAGGCAGGUGUUAGUAUCCUUGUUUGUCUUUCAAGAACCCUGAGGCUCUGAGAAACCAGCAAGUCAUGUGUCCUGUCACACGUCUAGUUAGUUAGUAGCACUUAGGUCUUCAGCCUCCGUGACCACUGCUCCUUCCCGGGUCAUUAAGGGCCUUGGCCUUAGAAGGCCUGGGUAGAAAAGUCAGUGGCCAAGAGCAAGUCCACCCAAGGCCUUCCUAUUCAGGGAAGAUCACCCCACAGGAGCCCCUUUCUGCCACCUCCUCAGAGACGGGCUCAGGACACUGUUGGGGCAGAAAGGGCUGAUCUUUGCCCGAAGAAGCAAAGCAGUUCAUCCAUCCUGUCAUUUCUGCUCUCUACACGGCUGCUGCGGACGUGUCUGCCACACCAGUCUGAGGGCUCCUGAGGACUUACCCUGCCUGCUGGUCCAGUGCCAGCUCUGUGACUGACCCAGAGCAGGCCACCAUACGUGUCAUUGGUAAAUAAACAAGUGAUCAGUGUGGUCUG
Molecule: long non-coding RNA, 1705 nt
Organism: Myotis daubentonii (Daubenton's bat)
Lineage: Eukaryota; Metazoa; Chordata; Mammalia; Chiroptera; Vespertilionidae
Exons: 2
Source: RefSeq, a predicted model, not a curated record